UGGGCUGUGCUGGGCUUCCCUCCAUGCUGGGGGGCAACCAGGUGCUCAGACCUCAUGGAUGGGUCACUGAGGAAGGGCUGUGGGCGUCCCCAGCUGAGAGAAGUCAGCUCUGCAGAACACUCGGUUUGAUUGUGGUUUCCCUGGCACCCUCAGGGAGGGAUCUGGGCUGUGAGCUCCUGAGCUAUGUGGUGCUCCCAGGGACAGAUCUCAGCAGUGGGGUGGUUCCAAGGACAACCUUAUCGUUUUAGUCUACCACAGCUCUCCCGUUCGGCCCUGGGCAAGGUGGCCACCAGGCUCCCACAGCCAAAACAAUAAGCAGAGACCAAAAGGAAGCAGAGACCUGGCUUUAAUAUCACAUAAGGACGGAUGGCAAAACUUUCCUAAAGACAUAUGUUGUGGAAAAAGGAAAACCCCUCAAAGGUGCCUCCUGCUCAGAGCAGGAUAUGGAGUAAUACAUUCACCCUUCUUUGCAUUCCCUGUCUCCUGAAGGCCACAUUCAUCCACUUCCCCUUUUCUGGAGAGGAUGUCAGCUUAAGAGAAACUCCUGCAUGGAAGGGUAAGGUGACUCGAUAAGGGAGGAGAAGGAUCACGUGGUGGUAUUAACAUCACUACACACUCACCAAAGG
Molecule: long non-coding RNA, 626 nt
Organism: Corapipo altera (White-ruffed manakin)
Lineage: Eukaryota; Metazoa; Chordata; Aves; Passeriformes; Pipridae
Exons: 5
Source: RefSeq, a predicted model, not a curated record